This is a non-coding RNA of Bombyx mori (domestic silkworm), 111 nucleotides long. The record is from RefSeq and is marked provisional. NCBI's taxonomy places the organism in Eukaryota, Metazoa, Arthropoda, Insecta, Lepidoptera, Bombycidae.
CACGAAUAUUUACUCGAUGCGGGAAUCGAACCCACGACCCUCGGCGCAACAGUUAGGGGCACUAACUACUACACCACCGAGUCAGUCGAUUUCUUCGAAUUACUAUUUGAU